RNAcentral lists this ribosomal RNA (207 nucleotides) under uncultured bacterium. RNAcentral's name for it is "partial 16S ribosomal RNA". It matches the Rfam family "Bacterial small subunit ribosomal RNA", at positions 568 to 774 of the family's 1533-position model. The record is from RNAcentral.
CACGUAGGCGGCCUGGUUAGUCAGAUGUGAAAGCCCGGGGCUUAACCCCGGAAGUGCAUUUGAUACUGUCAGGCUUGAGUAUGGGAGAGGGAAGUGGAAUUCCUGGUGUAGAGGUGAAAUUCGUAGAUAUCAGGAGGAACACCGGUGGCGAAGGCGACUUCCUGGACCAAUACUGACGCUGAGGUGCGAAGGCGUGGGUAGCAAACA